This 403-nucleotide ribosomal RNA is filed under the name uncultured bacterium. Its description in RNAcentral is "partial 16S ribosomal RNA". It matches the Rfam family "Bacterial small subunit ribosomal RNA", at positions 30 to 526 of the family's 1533-position model. The record is from RNAcentral.
AUUGAACGCUGGCGGCAUGCCUAACACAUGCAAGUCGAGCGAGCGGCGGACGGGUGAGUAAUGUAUGGGGACUUCCCGAUAGAGGGGGCUAACUACUGGAAACGGUAGCUAAUUCCGCAUACUAUCGGAUAACCCAUAUGGGAUUAGCUAGUAGGGGAGGUAAUGGCUCACCUAGGAUACGAGCCCUAGCUGGUCUGAGAGGAUGAUCAGCCACACUGGGACUGAGACACGGCCCAGAAGCCUACGGAGGCAGCAGUGGGGAAUAUUGCACAAUGGGCGAAAGCCUGAAGCAGCCAUGCCGCGUGUAUGAAGAAGGCCCGAGGGUUGUAAAGUACUUUCAGUCGGGAGGCGUUACCGACAGAAGAAGCCCCGGCUAACUCCGUGCCAGCAGCCGCGGUAAUAC